GCAAGCGUGGUGCAGUGGUUUGGGCAUUGGACUAGGACUCUGAAGACAGGGUUCAAAUCCCGGCUCAGUCA
Phrynosoma platyrhinos (Desert horned lizard) is the source of this 71-nucleotide non-coding RNA. The record is from the annotation of a GenBank genome assembly. Lineage: Eukaryota; Metazoa; Chordata; Lepidosauria; Squamata; Phrynosomatidae.